Molecule: ribosomal RNA, 324 nt
Filed under: uncultured bacterium
Lineage: Bacteria
Description: bacterial SSU rRNA
Rfam family: Bacterial small subunit ribosomal RNA
Source: RNAcentral
GAUGAACGCUGGCGGCGUGCUUAACACAUGCAAGUCGAGCGAAGCACUCUGGAAGAUUCCUUCGGGAUGAUUCCUUAGUGACUUAGCGGCGGACGGGUGAGUAACGCGUGGGCAACCUGCCUUGUACAGGGGGAUAACAGUUAGAAAUGACUGCUAAUACCGCAUAAGCGCACAGCAUGGCAUCAUGCAGUGUGAAAAACUCCGGUGGUACAAGAUGGGCCCGCGUUGGAUUAGCUUGUUGGUGGGGUAACGGCCCACCAAGGCGACGAUCCAUAGCCGGACUGAGAGGUCGAACGGCCACAUUGGGACUGAGACACGGCCCAG